GGCUUCUGGCUUUUUAUUAUUUGUGAUUGCUUGUUAUUUGUUGCUGAACUUGAUGACUUUGAGUCUUUGGCAUAUCCUUGGGUGCUUGUGAGUCAAAUUUUUAUGUUUGGUUCGUUCUUCUUUUGGACCUUGAGAGUAGGGUUGUUGGUUGUGUUAAUUCAUUCAAGAGCACCAAAAAGAAAUUGAAAACCAUGCUCUUAUUGCCGUAUUCUUAGUUACUUUUUCUGGGGAUAAUUGCUUGUAUUCAUGCAAUCGGUAUAUGUUUGUAGUAUACUGGAAUGCAGAGUUAUUAUUGCUUUAAUUAAUUGAUCAUUGGUAGUAAAAAAGUGCUGUCAGAUGCACAAAUUCUUCACUUAGUUUCUGAAAUUUAUUAGAUUAUGAAAUUCACUGCUAAUGAGCAAUAUCCUUCAGUUUAUAUUACUGCUAGUAUUUGACAAUUAGUUUAUCAGCAUUUCUUUGAUUAUUGUUCUUAGCUUAUUUCACAGGGGAAAGGAAGAGGUUAAAAAGAAAGAGGAACUAACGUCCAUAACUCAGGCUGGUCUGAUAGAAAAAUGUUUUAUACAUUUUUUAUGAAGGAAACAUUGAAAGGACAAUCAAGAUAAAACUUCUCUUUCCAAUAUGCUUUUGCUCCUGGAUUCAUUUGAAAGCUCCUUAGUUUUAUGAGUAUUGAUCCGAUAACUGGUUGCCUGAAGGAGAAGUUUGCUUUCAUCUCUUAAAUGGCUCAAGAUACUUCUGGUGCUAAAUCACCAAGGUGACAUUCUGGACUUUUGCGAGGCCAGGUGCAGUUGGUUAUCGUUAUGAGAUUGUUCCAAUCAAAGAUCCACUUUCCUUUGAGAAAGGUUUCUUCAUUGUAAGAAUUUCUUACAUGCCAAUUGUUGGCCCAAAGGAAUGAUGGAUUGAUUUUAGUUGGAGUAGCAGGACCAUCUGGAUCUGGAAAGACUCUGUUCACUGAGAAGGUGCUCAACUUUAUGCCCAGCGUAGCUGUCAUAACAAUGGACCACCACUACAAAGAUUCUAACCAUAUUGUUGAUGGCAACUUCGAUGGUAAAAUCUCAAAUUCUUUCAUUCUUCUGAUUGUUUACAUAAAGUCAUCAAAAUAAUCAGCAGAGUUUGUUGACACUGGUGGCUUCUUAUUUGAUCCUUCUAGUUUGAAUAUCAAGGAUAAUCAUGUAUGAGAAAAGUGGACGCUACCAGAUAUAACAUGCUGGUGGUAGUGGGCUGAAGAUUUGCGGCAUGAAAGAUAUUGUACCGCAAUGAUUAAAGACUGGAGAGGGAUGCAUGGCAGAGCUCUGAUAAUUGUAGUGUUAUGAAACACACCCAAGGUUGACUGAUCUUGACACACUGCUUGAAAAUUAUACACGGUUUAAAAUCAGGGAAACCUGUUCGAGUUCCUCUCUGGCUCUUGUAUAGGAUACAGGUUCUGUCUCUCCUUUAUGCUUAGCUAUUUUUCUAAGAACUCUUUUCAUAAGGGUUGAUGGUUUAUCCACUCUUUCUGCCUGCUAGGAAGAAAGACGAGAAAAAGGAAGCAAACAAGCAGUGGGCUAUUGGAAACAAAUAGUGAUUAGUACAUGUUCUUGAUCUUAGUUCCAUCAUCAUACUGAAUUUUGUACAAAAUUCAUAGCUUUGUUUAAUAUAGAAAUAAUUCAUUGAAAGUGCUCAUAUAUUGUUAGGGUUGCCUUUGUACAAUGCUGAAGUGUUGAAAGAGUCAAACCAUAGUAAAGCAGUAGCCAUAGGGCACGGAUUCAAUCACUGAUGUUUUUCGUAUAGGCGGAUUCAGGUGUCACUUUAUAAUGUUACAACAAUUUUAGAUUUUGUGGGA
Theobroma umbraticum is the source of this 1819-nucleotide non-coding RNA. The record is from RefSeq and is a predicted model, not a curated record. NCBI's taxonomy places the organism in Eukaryota, Viridiplantae, Streptophyta, Magnoliopsida, Malvales, Malvaceae.